CCGAAUAAGUGAAUCUACGUGGAGUGGAGCGCAGCAGAGAGAGGAGAGCCGCAGUGGUUGUAAUGGUUCUGGAGCAGACUCGGAGUAAUGUUCGGCUGUAGCUGUGGGAAUAAGCGAAAUCGGGAGCGGAAUAAUAAUUAACAACAAUCCGCCAUGUUUAGCUGUCGAUCUCGUCGCCGUGGUGUAUUCUGUCACCGUGUCGGUUCCAUGUGAAUCUGCGCGCCCUUGUGGAAACUGCUAGCGCUAGCUGCUGGUUUCACAAUCCAGCCGGCGACCGGGCGGUGCAACGUCUCACGCUCACGGCGUGCGGCGCUUCUACUCCCCUCUUCCCGGCGUGGGCCCGCCGCCAUGGCAACCUACGCGCCGCCGGCCACGCCCUGGACGGAGAUUCCGCUGUGCCUGGGGCUGGAUGUUGUGACCUGGUCCAGACAGAGACAGCAAUCCCAUGUCAUGUCACCAACCAUGCGUGGACAAGUGCCAAGGGGCACAGUGGCAUUGGCAUCCCUGACGGCGUUCACCUCGAUACAGAGCUGGAGGUCAACCCGGGAAGGCGUCGUCAAUUCCCUGAUGGCAUGGUUUUCGUUUUCUGAAUCUGACGCAACGUGCCUGUGCCUCUACCAAAACGCCAUAAGGAAAGCUUCCACGGAUGGGUGGCCAUGGCCUGCAGGCAAAGGACAAAUAGAACUGAAGAAGAAAACACAUUUGUGCCAUAUGGAGGCCAAGGAGAACAGGACAACACAUCGAAUGAUCAUCGAAUCUGACAACAUGCCCACUCCAUCAACACAUCUCUUACAUUUGUUCUCCAGGGAUGGUUUCAGCAUUGCCGGCACAGGUUUUGGUCCUCAAGAGUAUUCUCACUACCUACCUGUGUGGCAGGACACGGCGAUAUAUGCUCCUCUGCUGUCCCGCCGUCUCGGGGGCCUUUUUUGUGGAAUUGCUGCGCCUUGCAGAUGGACCGCGUGAGGAAGUUCACUGGCAUGGCCAAGGGCACGCCCGCGGUGGUCCCAGCCCGGAGAGACGAGGACGAGAGCUUGGCUCUGUUUGGGGAGAUGUAUCAGCAUGAGAAAGAGAGGGACAUGAACCUCCUGGAGCCAAUGUUCUCGGUGGAGUUCGAAGCUAUUCAAGGAGACGGUCGCAUGUACAAGCUUCCUUCAGGAAAGAGGGAGUACCUCCUCCCAGAUGGCGAGAAGCAUGAUUACGACUGGCUCAAGACUCCCCCAGCGACCCCACUGUUCCCUUCCCUCGAGAUGGAAGCCAACUCAUCCCAGAUGAUCUUUCAGAAGGAGCUGCUGCCUAUGCUUCAGCCACUCAGGACUUCAAGGUUCUCAAGCAAGCCCGACUCUGCAACCGCAUCGACAACGUCCGAAUCGCCUACCUCCAGCUCCUCCAUUUCUGUGACUCCGACAGCGAGGCCCAGCUCUCCACCAUCGAAGAAAAAACUCAGCAUAGAAGCUCCCACUCCAUCUAAACAGCAGGACUCAGCAUACCGGAUAGAGAAGAAGUCCAGCUACACAGCACUGGCCAACAGGCAGCACAACUCGAUCCCUGCAGCCCCAACCCCAACAGCUACUGCCACCAAAGCGUCCAAGAAAGCAGCUCCGGGCAGCAAAUCCCAGCCACCAAACGCAGGCGCCAAGAAUAACGCGGCCAGACCGGGCAAGGCGCCGAAGAACGUUACGACAGCGACCACGACCACGGCGAAGCCUCGGCCGAAUGGUUCUUCAGCUGGCGCCGCCAAGGAUCGGAAGGUGGACGCUGGCGCCGCCGCCAGGAGACUGUCGUCGUGCCCACGCGCUGCGACGACAGGCGACGACGCGCAGGUUACAGCAACGAUGAAAGGAAGGAGCAGCAGAGCUGCGGCCACCGGCGCUCCUGUGGCUACUGCCCGUAAGGGUGCCGGUGCCGGUGCCGGCGACGCUGCCACCGAUGCGGUGCUGAAGGGGCGGAGGAGGGCUGGAGAGAAGGAGCAGAGGCCGAAGCUUGGAAGCCAUGCGAAGAAGUGAUUGAAACAUGGCGGUUUCAGGCUGACGAGUAGAUGGGAUGGGAUGGGACGCUAUCACUUUUUCAGGAAGGAACCUAUUGGUCGAGUCAUUGGAAUGAUCUUAGUCGCCCUAAUAUGUGAAAAUACAAGUGACUUGAAAGUUCUUUGCAGUUUCAUGUUUUAUGUUAGUGACGAUGUUCGCCAUGCAUGUAGCUUCGCUUCUUGACGGGGACUUUUUUC
Zea mays is the source of this 2221-nucleotide RNA transcript. It is a transcript of the gene named protein-like pseudogene, with no coding region annotated. NCBI's taxonomy places the organism in Eukaryota, Viridiplantae, Streptophyta, Magnoliopsida, Poales, Poaceae. The record is from RefSeq and is marked validated. The transcript is spliced from 4 exons.